This 56-nucleotide transfer RNA is filed under the name Triticum aestivum (bread wheat). It matches the Rfam family "tRNA", at positions 10 to 63 of the family's 71-position model. Rfam says of the family: Transfer RNA (tRNA) molecules are approximately 80 nucleotides in length. Their secondary structure includes four short double-helical elements and three loops (D, anti-codon, and T loops). RNAcentral also lists the same sequence under 1 other name. The record is from Rfam by way of RNAcentral. Lineage: Eukaryota; Viridiplantae; Streptophyta; Magnoliopsida; Poales; Poaceae.
GCUUAGUUGGUAAAGCACAAAGCUCUUAACCUUGUGGACAUGGGUUCACGCCCCAU